ACCUAUUAUUAUUGUACCAUAUAUGUGAGUAUAAUACAAUGCAUGAAGAGAUAUUGCAAGUUAGAGGUGAAAAGGAUGCAAAGAUGUUUAAUGUUUUGGAGUUGAGAAUUUCAUAAGGAAUGUAAAAAUGUAAUCUUUAUUUGUUAGGAUAUUUUAAACUUCAUUAUUUUGAAAAACUAUAUAUACCACAGUAGAAAAUUGUGUAUUUCUUUCUAUAUAUACUAAUGAAAUGUUAAGUAAGCUUUAUAUAUU
This 252-nucleotide long non-coding RNA is filed under the name Vigna radiata. RNAcentral's name for it is "long non-coding RNA (VRAD_LNC010263)". Lineage: Eukaryota; Viridiplantae; Streptophyta; Magnoliopsida; Fabales; Fabaceae. The record is from RNAcentral.